UAACAAGGUCUCCGUUGGUGAACCAGCGGAGGGAUCAUUACUGAGUUAUCCAACUCCCAAACCCCUGUGAACAUACCUAUGUUGCUUCGGCGGAUCGUCCCGCGGCGCGCCCUCGUGGCGUGACCCGGAUCCAGGCGCCCGCCGGGGAACCAAACUCUUGUUUUCUAGUGUCUCCUCUGAGUGGCAUAAGCAAAAAUAAACAAAACUUUCAGCAACGGAUCUCUUGGUUCUGGCAUCGAUGAAGAACGCAGCGAAAUGCGAUAAGUAAUGUGAAUUGCAGAAUUCAGUGAAUCAUCGAAUCUUUGAACGCACAUUGCGCCCGCCAGUAUUCUGGCGGGCAUGCCUGUCUGAGCGUCAUUUCAACCCUCAGCCCCCGUUCGCGGGGCGCUGGCGUUGGGGCCCGGCCGUCCUCGCGGCGGCCGUCCCCGAAACACAGUGGCGGUCUCCCACAGACUCCCCUGCGUAGUAACACUACCUCGCAGAAGGGACGAGCGGGCUGGCCACGCCGUAAAACACCCCACUUCUUAAGGUUGACCUCAGAUCAGGUAGGAAUACCCGCUGAACUUAAGCAUAUCAAUAAGCGGAGGAA
This 589-nucleotide ribosomal RNA is filed under the name fungal sp. RNAcentral's name for it is "eukaryotic LSU rRNA". The stretch from base 204 to 357 matches the Rfam family "5.8S ribosomal RNA". The record is from RNAcentral. Lineage: Eukaryota; Fungi.